AAAAAAUGAACCACAUGAAACGUGAAGACAAGUCUUGAUUGAGUCUUGAGAGUGAAUGUCAUAGUGUCAGUCCAGCAGUUCCCCUGUGUUUGUUUGCUUUGCCUGUGUUUCCCCUGUCUCUGCAAGGAGCUGUGGUCUCCUCCUGUUUAUUCCCGAAGGACGUGGCUGGAACAGCUGACUGCAAUCAGCCAUCAGGGGACUCUCCUACAUCAACCCGGGUCUUCCUGCCAUUCAGCGCCAGAUCGUUCUGUCGUCAGAGUGACAACUAUGUAUUCAUGCCACCUACUAGUAGACGCUGUCUUUGUUCACUUUGUUCGUUUUUUUGCCACGUUGAUGCCUUUGUGCUAAAAUGGGUCCUCUUUUAACAUUCAACCUGACUCUUAUUAAUUUUGAUUAACUAUACAGUGGAGUUAUAUUCAGAGUGUUGGUUUCUUCUUGGUCAUUGAAGCUCAGUUAAACACAAGCAGGCAGUGAAUGUGUCUCUGCUCAAGCAGUGCAUCAAUCUAACUUUGCCUUUGUUUCUGUUUUUGGGCUACAGAGAGGAUCAUCCCAAUCCGCAGUGAACACCUGAGGAUACAAGUCUUCAAGCAGAAGUUGAUGUCUAAUAGCUGAACUUUCUGUCAAAGGCUGUCUUUGGAAGGAGAAGCCAUCGUUCCUGGACUACGUUCUCAGUACACACAGUAGCUAAUGGAUGC
Gasterosteus aculeatus aculeatus (three-spined stickleback) is the source of this 695-nucleotide long non-coding RNA. The record is from Ensembl. Lineage: Eukaryota; Metazoa; Chordata; Actinopteri; Perciformes; Gasterosteidae.